RNAcentral lists this ribosomal RNA (253 nucleotides) under uncultured bacterium. RNAcentral's name for it is "partial 16S ribosomal RNA". It matches the Rfam family "Bacterial small subunit ribosomal RNA", at positions 524 to 776 of the family's 1533-position model. The record is from RNAcentral.
UACGUAGGGUGCGAGCGUUAAUCGGAAUUACUGGGCGUAAAGCGUGCGCAGGCGGUUUUGUAAGCCCGGGUUGAAAUCCCCGGGCUCAACCUGGGAAUGGCAUUUGAUACUCUGGAGCUUGAGUACGGGAGAGGAGAGUGGAAUUCCCAGUGUAGAGGUGAAAUUCGUAGAUAUUGGGAAGAACACCGGUGGCGAAGGCGGCUCUAUGGACCGUAACUGACGCUGAGGCGCGAAAGCGUGGGGAGCAAACAGG